AGCGAACGCUGGCGGCAGGCUUAACACAUGCAAGUCGAACGCCCCGCAAGGGGAGUGGCAGACGGGUGAGUAACACGUGGGAACGUACCCUUUGGUUCGGAAUAACUUGGGGAAACUCAAGCUAAUACCAGAUAAGCCCUUAUGGGGAAAGGUUUACUGCCGAAGGAUCGGCCCGCGUCUGAUUAGCUAGUUGGUGAGGUAAUGGCUCACCAAGGCGACGAUCAGUAGCUGGUCUGAGAGGAUGAUCAGCCACACUGGGACUGAGACACGGCCAAGACUCCUACGGGAGGCAGCGGUGGGGAAUAUUGGACAAGGGGGGCAACCCUGACCCAGCCAUGCCGCGUGGGUGAUGAAGGCCUGAGGGUUGUAAAGCUCUUUUACCCGGGACGAUAAUGCCGGAACCGGGAGAAUAGGCCCCGGCUAACUUCGUGCCAGCCGCCGCGGAAA
RNAcentral lists this ribosomal RNA (447 nucleotides) under uncultured bacterium. RNAcentral describes it as "partial 16S ribosomal RNA". It matches the Rfam family "Bacterial small subunit ribosomal RNA", at positions 29 to 523 of the family's 1533-position model. The record is from RNAcentral.